GACGAACGCUGGCGGCGUGCUUAACACAUGCAAGUCGAACGGAAAGGCCCUGCUUUUGUGGGGUGCUCGAGUGGCGAACGGGUGAGUAACAUGUGAGUAACCUGCCCUUGACUUUGGGAUAACUUCAGGAAACUGGGGCUAAUACCGGAUAGGAGCUCCUGCUGCAUGGUGGGGGUUGGAAAGUUUCGGCGGUUGGGGAUGGACUCGCGGCUUAUCAGCUUGUUGGUGGGGUAGUGGCUUACCAAGGCUUUGACGGGUAGCCGGCCUGAGAGGGUGACCGGCCACAAUGGGACUGAGGUACGGCCCAGACUCCUACGGGGGGCAACAGGGGGGAAUUAUGCACAAUGGGCCGAAGCCUGAUGCAGCAACGCCGCGUGCGGGAUGACGGCCUUCGGGUUGGUAACCGCUUUCGCCUGUGACGAAGCGUGAGUGGCGGUAAUGGGUAAAGGAGCACCGGCUAACUUCGUG
Molecule: ribosomal RNA, 468 nt
Filed under: uncultured bacterium
Lineage: Bacteria
Description: partial 16S ribosomal RNA
Rfam family: Bacterial small subunit ribosomal RNA
Source: RNAcentral